This 430-nucleotide ribosomal RNA is filed under the name Proteus mirabilis. Its description in RNAcentral is "bacterial SSU rRNA". It matches the Rfam family "Bacterial small subunit ribosomal RNA", at positions 1030 to 1459 of the family's 1533-position model. Lineage: Bacteria; Pseudomonadati; Pseudomonadota; Gammaproteobacteria; Enterobacterales; Morganellaceae. The record is from RNAcentral.
UGAGACAGGUGCUGCAUGGCUGUCGUCAGCUCGUGUUGUGAAAUGUUGGGUUAAGUCCCGCAACGAGCGCAACCCUUAUCCUUUGUUGCCAGCACGUAAUGGUGGGAACUCAAAGGAGACUGCCGGUGAUAAACCGGAGGAAGGUGGGGAUGACGUCAAGUCAUCAUGGCCCUUACGAGUAGGGCUACACACGUGCUACAAUGGCAGAUACAAAGAGAAGCGACCUCGCGAGAGCAAGCGGAACUCAUAAAGUCUGUCGUAGUCCGGAUUGGAGUCUGCAACUCGACUCCAUGAAGUCGGAAUCGCUAGUAAUCGUAGAUCAGAAUGCUACGGUGAAUACGUUCCCGGGCCUUGUACACACCGCCCGUCACACCAUGGGAGUGGGUUGCAAAAGAAGUAGGUAGCUUAACCUUCGGGAGGGCGCUUACCA